UCUAAUGGAUGAUUUGGGUAAUCUAAAGAAAAAUUCCAAGGUGGGUGGUUGAGCUUGAGAGGAGCCGAAGAAAAAGAAAUGCAAAGACAAACAAAAGCAAGGUGGUCACGGUGGUUUCCUGGCGCCAACGACCGUCAUUCCAAGGUAGGAAAGCCACAUGUGGUGGUGGUUUGUGCAUACGAGGGGCGGUGAUUGGGUCCAACAGCGUGCCAGCUCUCACACCGGCAUCACCAGUACUCAACAUCGACGACAUCUUUGAUGAAUUUGGUGGCGGUAGUGCAAGAUGUGGAUUUGGUUUUACGGUGGCCCUUGGUGGCGGUAGGCAGGAUUCGUGAUGGCCAAACUAUUCAGCACAAAUCACUUCAGAUGAGAUGUGUGUGGACGGUGGAUGAUUGUAUUGAGACAUGGGAUGAAUAUCAGACAAACACUUCAAUGAUUUUACACAAUCGAAACCCUAAGAUGCCGCCUCCUCCUCCUAAGUUAGAAUAUCUCUCAUAAACACCAUCUGUUGCACAUCGCUCACACUUCAGAUGCCGCCGCCUCCUCCUCCUCCUCCUAAGUCCUCUCUCCUUCUAUCCUUCACUUUCCGAUUCGAUUAAUUCGUUCUGUUCAGUUCAGGCUUCAAAGUUCAACCGUGUCGUGUUAUAAACUGCCAAUUAGGUCGCAUUCCGUCCCGGAGAUCCACCUCCGGCGGCUCUUUUUCACACAGAUUCUUCUCAUCUGAAUCGAAAGUUGGAGGAUCAGCGUAUAUGAUAGUUGAUCAUACAUACGAGCCGGAGGUGCGGGUUUACGAGCUGCAAUUGGUCUAUCUGAGCAUGGCUUUAAUACUGCUUGUAUAACUAAGCUGUUUCCAACUCGUUCUCACACUGUUGCCGCUCAGGUCGCAUCGUGUCUUUACAAGCGCUAUAUUUUCCGGCAAAAUCAAGGUCGCAUCGUGUCUUUACAAGCGCUAUAUUUUCCGGCAAAAUCAAGAUUAAUGACGUGGAGUUGAGCUGAAUAGAAAAUAUUGAAGGAAAAAAAAAAGAUAAAGGAAACUAAAAUAUAAGAAAUGAUGUUGCUAUUACUUGGCUUUCAGUUGUCAUUUUCAGGUUUUUUUUCGUAUGCAUUAAAAAUAUCGAGAUAUGUUGUCUCC
Long non-coding RNA from Helianthus annuus (common sunflower), 1132 nucleotides. RefSeq lists it as uncharacterized. The record is from RefSeq and is a predicted model, not a curated record. Lineage: Eukaryota; Viridiplantae; Streptophyta; Magnoliopsida; Asterales; Asteraceae. The transcript has 7 exons.